GACGAACGCUGGCGGCGUGCUUAACACAUGCAAGUCGAACGGAAAGGCCCUGCUUUUGUGGGGUGCUCGAGUGGCGAACGGGUGAGUAACACGUGAGUAACCUGCCCUUGACUUUGGGAUAACUUCAGGAAACUGGGGCUAAUACCGGAUAGGAGCUCCUGCUGCAUGGUGGGGGUUGGAAAGUUUCGGCGGUUGGGGAUGGACUCGCGGCGUAUCAGCUUGUUGGUGGGGUAGUGGCUUACCAAGGCUUUGACGGGUAGCCGGGCUGAGAGGGUGACCGGCCACAUUGGGACGGAGAUACGGCCCAGACUCCUACGGGAGGCAGCAGUGGGGAAUAUUGCACAAUGGGCGGAAGCCUGAUGCAGCAACGCCGCGUGCGGGAUGACGGCUUGCGGGUUGGAUACCGCUGCCGCCUGUGACGAAGCGUGAGUGACGGUAAUGGGUAAAGAAGCACCGGCUAACUACGUG
This 468-nucleotide ribosomal RNA is filed under the name uncultured bacterium. Its description in RNAcentral is "partial 16S ribosomal RNA". It matches the Rfam family "Bacterial small subunit ribosomal RNA", at positions 28 to 507 of the family's 1533-position model. The record is from RNAcentral.